RNAcentral lists this ribosomal RNA (442 nucleotides) under uncultured bacterium. RNAcentral's name for it is "partial 16S ribosomal RNA". It matches the Rfam family "Bacterial small subunit ribosomal RNA", at positions 338 to 795 of the family's 1533-position model. The record is from RNAcentral.
CCUACGGGAGGCAGCAGUGGGGGAUAUUGCACAAUGGGGGAAAGCCUGAUGCAGCGACGCCGCGUGGGCGAAGAAGUAUUUCGGAAUGUAAAGCCCUAUCAGCAGGGAAGAAGAAAUGACGGUACCUGAGUAAGAAGAACCGGCUAAAUACGAGCCAGCAGCCGCGGUAAUACGUAGGGUGCAGGCGUUAUCCGGCUUUACUGGGUGUAAAGGAUGCGCAGGCGGCACGGCAAGCCUGAUGUGAAAGCCCGCGGCCCAACCGCGGGACUGCAUUGGGAACUAUCGGGCUGGAGUGUCGGAGAGGUAGGCGGAAUUCCUAGUGUAGCGGUGAAAUGCGUAGAUAUCAGGAGGAACACCAGUGGCGAAGGCGGCCUACUGGACGGUGACUGACGCUGAGGCGCGAAAGCGUGGGGAGCAAACAGGAUUAGAUACCCGUGUAGUC